UACGUAGGGGGCAAGCGUUGUCCGGAUUUACUGGGUGUAAAGGGCGCGCAGGUGGGUUAACAAGUCAGAGGUGAAAUCCUACAGCUUAACUGUAGAACUGCCUUUGAAACUGUUAAUCUUGAGUACGGAAGAGAGAGACGGAAUUCCAGGUGUAGUGGUGAAAUACGUAGAUAUCUGGAAGAACACCAGUUGCGAAGGCGGUCUCUUGGUCCGUUACUGACACUCAGGCGCGAAAGCGUGGGGAGCAAACAGG
RNAcentral lists this ribosomal RNA (253 nucleotides) under uncultured bacterium. RNAcentral describes it as "partial 16S ribosomal RNA". It matches the Rfam family "Bacterial small subunit ribosomal RNA", at positions 524 to 776 of the family's 1533-position model. The record is from RNAcentral.